AGUGAACGCUGGCGGUAGGCCUAACACAUGCAAGUCGAACGGCAGCACAGUAAGAGCUUGCUCUUACGGGUGGCGAGUGGCGGACGGGUGAGGAAUACAUCGGACUCUACUUUUUCGUGGGGGAUAACGUAGGGAAACUUACGCUAAUACCGCAUACGCCCUACGGGUGAAAGCAGGGGAUCUUCGGACCUUGCGCGAUUGAAUGAGCCGAUGUCGGAUUAGCUAGUUGGCGGGGUAAAGGCCCACCAAGGCGACGAUCCGUAGCUGGUCUGAGAGGAUGAUCAGCCACACGGGAACUGAGACACGGUCCAGACUCCUACGGGAGGCAGCAGUGGGGAAUAUGGGACAAUGGGCGCAAGCCUGAUCCAGCCAUACCGCGUGGGUGAAGAAGGCCUUCGGGUUGUAAAGCCCUUUUGUUGGGAAAGAAAAGCAGCAGGUUAAGACCCCGCUGUUCUGACGGUACCCAAAGAAUAAGCACCGGCUAACUUCGUG
RNAcentral lists this ribosomal RNA (492 nucleotides) under uncultured bacterium. RNAcentral describes it as "partial 16S ribosomal RNA". It matches the Rfam family "Bacterial small subunit ribosomal RNA", at positions 29 to 507 of the family's 1533-position model. The record is from RNAcentral.